Etheostoma spectabile (orangethroat darter) is the source of this 82-nucleotide non-coding RNA. Lineage: Eukaryota; Metazoa; Chordata; Actinopteri; Perciformes; Percidae. The record is from the annotation of a RefSeq genome assembly.
GAUGAGGUGGCCGAGUGGUUAAGGCGAUGGUCUGCUUCUCCAUUGUGCUUUGCACUCAGGGGUUCAAAUCCCAUCCUCAUCG